This 228-nucleotide ribosomal RNA is filed under the name uncultured bacterium. RNAcentral describes it as "partial 16S ribosomal RNA". It matches the Rfam family "Bacterial small subunit ribosomal RNA", at positions 15 to 189 of the family's 1533-position model. The record is from RNAcentral.
GAUCCUGGCUCAGGAUAAACGCUGGCGGCGCACAUAAGACAUGCAAGUCGAACGGAAGUCGUUGUAAUGAUAUAGACAUGGACGGAGAACUUGUUCAAAGAAAGUGAAAGUUGACUUACAACAAUGGCUUUAGUGGCGGACUGGUGAGUAACACGUAAGCAACCUGCCUAUCAGAGGGGAACGAACAGUUAGAAAUGACUGCUAAUGCCGCAUAUGCCUAAGUAUCAC